Non-coding RNA from Rattus norvegicus (Norway rat), 8265 nucleotides. The record is from RefSeq and is a predicted model, not a curated record. Lineage: Eukaryota; Metazoa; Chordata; Mammalia; Rodentia; Muridae.
GGGCCCCAGUGUCUUCCUCUCUUUUCCCUCCUUUGACCACAAAUACACUUACUCUUUUCUGAAUUACUAACCCCCAACCCAGGGCCUUUGCACUUGCCACCUCUUCUGCCAGGAACAUUUCCCCUUCAGUUUGCCUCAUGGCCCAAAUAUCCUUCAGGUCUUUCCUGCUCCCUUCCCUACUGACAUUCUUUAUGGUGUUCCUGGAGACCUACUCCCAUCCUAUCCUAUGAGUCUCCCAUCUUCCUUACUGCUGCACAGACACAAGGCUCUCUCCAUUACCACUGUCUGACCCGCUCCCAUGCAGAACCUGUUACAGUGGUUGAAUAAAAAGAUCCCAUGCCCUUCCCUCCUACCAAAGAUGCCACCCUCACAAGUGGCUGACCCAUCUCCCCCCACCGUCUUUCUUGCUUCUUAACAUUAUUUUUGUUUGUUUGUUUUGGGUAUUUUUGUUGUUGUUUUGUUUUUCUUGACUAUAACCUUGAACAACAGGGAUAGUUAUAAAUGUUGUGGACCAAAUGCCAGUCACUAGCCCUGGACAUGGUGUUGGUUGUACUGUAAGACCUGUGAGUCCUCAUUCACUCAUAAGCAACUGUCCUCUUCCCCAGUGUUCCUCUUCUGCUGAGCUCCCUCCUGACCCACAAGCCCUGAUGUGACUUCUACAUUCAGUGGAGUCAGCAACCUCCUCCUCCUCCUCCGAGCUCUCCCAGAGUGCCCCUGGAAGGGUAGUGUUCCCAUCAGUGCAGCAGACCAGGUAGGUGUGCUCUCUGAUCCAUGAUAUGGAGCCCCUUGAAGGGUGCAGUCUUCUCCCCUGGUGCAGCAUCUGGCAGACUGGGCACCUGCCCACCUUCUCCCACCCUCUUGACAGUGGAGAACCCUUGUCCACCCUCUGCAGGCUGAGUGCACAGGGACAGGGCCACUAGGUAGCAUAGUGUAGAUCUGGAUUUGGCCACAGUGUGAGAGUUCCACUCCGGCCGUGGACUGGAUGGCGACACACAAGCCCCAUUCCACCUCCAGGAGCCUCGGCUGUUUGCUUUACUGUCUCCUUUUAGUGGUUGGUGAAUCAAAAGAACUGGGAGAUGAACUCCCUAAGACUGAGCAGUCGGGACUCUGACCCAGGGACAUAGGAGGUACAUGUUGGCACUUAGCGGAAGCCCUGCUGUGAACCCCUGAAGCUAGGGACCUGAAUGUGAGCCAUGGAAAAGGGACUGUUGGGAACUCCUGCCACACACAUAAACCCAUGUACACCCAUCCCCAGAUUGUGGAGACGGACAGACACACACACACACACACACACACACACACACACACACACACAAGCACUCACGCAUGCACGCACGAAUGCACACACACAAACAUACACACCAGCUCCAGCCUACAAGCCAAGAGUCCUGGUGUAGAUCACACAUAGUUGCAGAUUAGGGCUUUGGCUCUGUCUUGCUCUCCAGAAAGCCCAGGAUGUGAAGCUAUAUGCCGAAUGAAAAAUUAGGCAACCAGGCCCAUAAACUGGGCCUCUCCUGUCCCUGUGCGCCUGAAUCAUGGACCACUUGGUCCCUGGAAGCCCUCCGGCACCCUGUACCCUAGGCCAAGUUAGGUUCGCUCCACCCACCCUUCCCCAAUGGCAGCUCCGUGCACCCUGUGGCCUCUGUGCCUGGUCACUCUGGCCGAGGAGGCCCUGCAAGCCACCUCUAAGCUCCAGUAAGCCAGGUCUGACUCUUGGAGGAGAUGCUGUCACCAGGCCAUCCAUGGAGCCUGGUCCCCUGUCCCAGAGGCCCCUGCUUACCUUCAAGAGUGGAAGGUAGGUGCUGGGCCUGAACACAGGCCUGGAGGCCUCUGUUUAUCCAGGCCAAGGUCUCUCCACCCACAACUGGCCAGCUUAGGUUGGAUCAAUAGCCUGGAACCAUGACUGGGGUGUCUGGCCCUUGUCCCUCGUGGCCUGUGGCCCCAAGUUCCAUGGGCCUCCUGUCAGGUCCAGGACGGACAAUGUAACUGAACACAGGUAAACAGGCAGGAGGCAGGAGGCAAGUAAUGCCCGCCUCUCUAACCCCGCCCUACCCCAUGGGUGCCCAGGGGGCUGGACUUGCAGGAGCGAGAGACCUGAGCUCUCCCCUGGGGCCUGUUGCUUGGUGAUAUUCCUGCCUGGUUACAGACCCUGGUCCCCUAAGAACGUGAGCGGGAAACUGCAGAGCGGAUUCAGGCUCACUCCGCCCCAUGCUGGAGGAAGUGUCAGGAUCCAUCGAGCAGGGACACCUACCCAAUGGCCAGAGUUGACCGACACCAGGAGCAUCUCAAGGCAUCCCCGCUCCUCCGAAUCUCAGCAUCCAGGAUGAAGGUCAAGUGCUUACAGCAGGAGUUCACUGAUAAAUAAUUGCAAGACAGGCUGACUGCAGGUGGGCUCCCAAACACAGCAUCGUCUCUAGGCCCCCUGGACAUUGGAUGUUAGAACGGAGGAGGUACGGGGGUAGAAAAGGGAAGAAUGUUCUGAUGAUGGGGGACCUCCACCUCUUACUGAGGCUGUAGACCAGGCUUCUGGUCCACCGGAAAAAUAGAAGUCAGAAUUUUUCUUUUGCUUCCCUCAUUCUUCCACAUCAUAGACGAGAAAGGUUCCAAGGGGCUCAAUGGGAGAGACCUGGCAGGGACACAAUGACCCCAAGAUGCUUGGGGCAGAUGUACAAGGAAGGAGAGCCUAGGAAGGGUGACGAGGGGCAACAGAGGCUGUGUGCCCGCCCCCAAGGGCUGCAAGGCAGACAAGAGCACCAACAGCAAACAGCAAGCUUGGGGUACCCGCCACCAUCCCUGGGCCACCUGGUCCCAGUUCUGUCCCCACCUGCCGCAGCUCCAACCACCAGCACGUCUUCAUCACAUGCCCUUAAUUAUUCUAUCCUCAUGACAGCCCUGGUGUCGUCAGAAUAAGGAAACUGAGGCACAGAGACGCUUCGGCAUCCAGUAAGGUCACAGCACACAAGCUGCCCGGCUCCCCAGGCUGGGGCCGCUGUCCCGCUCUGUCCCGGCCAUCGAGGGCUGCAAGGGUAGAUGACAUCUGCUUCCCUUCCCUUGCUCACCCUCCGUCUGCCUGCACAUCACCCUCCUCCUUCACAAACGAGCGUCGAAUGAACAAAUGGAUGGAUUUGUUAUCGCUCUCUGUCAAGUACUUCCGUGCCUCAUUGAAUCUGAGCCGAGCACCCUUGAAGGCCCUUCCAGCAUCUUCUCUCCCAGCAGAGCAGUCUGCUUGUGCCUUCUAAGGAGGUCUCGUGCCAGGUAUGGACAGGCUGGUGAAUGAUGGAGGUCUACUUGUCUGUAUACUCCACAAAGACUUUUUUUUUUUACAAUGAGGCUGAGGUCUCUGUGGAUAAUUCCAGCCCCAGGGCCAGCACCUAUGGCGUACCUACAGCUGUGUGCCUGUCUACCUGCCCACUCGAGGCCAGGUGCACGGAGGGGCGGAGAAGCUGGCCUCUCCACCAGCUGCUCCCGCCCCUCAGUGCUCUGGUUUCCUGGAAUCGAGGGUACCUCCUGGCAUCCUGCACCUCAGGUCUCAAGCGGCUUCCUGCUUUGUUUCUAAAGGUCCCCAGUGGGUGUGUCACAUCCCUGGUAUCACAAAAUGUCAGCAGAGGGGCUGUCCCAGGGCUGACACAGGGGUCAGGGUCAGAGCUUCUAGUGAGCUUGGGUUUCAACACUACUCCAUCUCUCUACAAUAAACUCCCCGUGGCAGGGGAUGUGGCAGCAAUCGUCUCAGAAGCUGCCACUCUUGUCUCAGUAGGUUCUUGGCACAUGGUCUGAGAUACUUGUCAGCACAGGCUUUAAAGAGCUGUUUUAAGUAAAACCAUGUUAUGAAAGCGCUCUCUCUCUCUCUCUCUCUCUCUCUCUCUCUCUCUCUCUCACACACACACACACACACACACACACACACACACACACACACACCUCAAUUAUGUGGCUCUUAAGUGUGGAUUUUGUAGAUGGUAUCAUGAGAAGACGAAGCCCCUGCUGCUGCCACUGCUGGUGCCUGACCUGUGGGAUGCUGGGUGUAGGAGGCUGUGGACAGAGGGAAGCUCCAGUCAUGGAGUCCAAGGCUGCCUCACCUUAUGACAGCCGUGCCCUGGCCAGUGGAGAACUGAGAAGGGGUUCUCUUCUUCCUGCAGUGCUGUGAGCAUUCCACCUUUUUCUUUCUUCGAGGCUGGCUACCCGGAGGCUGAGACAGAACUUUCUGGUUUUUGCCUUUGGUAGAAGUGUCUCCAAGGGGCAGCCCCGUGCAGCCCAGAUAGAAAGUGAAUGAAUAAAUUGAUGGAAGAAAAGGAGGAGGAGGAGAAGUAGUAGAGGAAGAGAGGGAAGGGGUGGGGGAAGAAGAAGAGGGGGAGGAGGAGGAAGAAGAAGGAGAGGAAGAAAAAAAGAGGAGGAACAGGAAGAGCUUUCUCUAGACAAGUUUGCUCUCAGAAAGGUCCAGGGACUGAGGAGCUUGGAGCAUACAGUCUAUCCACUAGCAGCUACACUUCUCAACUGCCCUCAGCCUCAGUUUCCUCAUCUGAAAAGUGGGGCGAAAGCUCCUGCCUCUCACGGACAUGGCAGCUUUCUUGGUGGAGGCAGAGAGAGGUGGCUUUCUUUGCAGGUUUUUUUUUUUUUUGGCAGGGUGGGGUAGGAUGAGCUUUUUGUUUGUUUGUUUUUGGGACAUGAGCUUGUCAAGUAGUCUAGACUGGCCUGGAGCUCACUAUGUGGACCAGGUCACCUUCAAACCUGAGACACCCCCCACCCCAGCCCACUCCCCCAUCUUAGCUCUCUGCUGUGGGGAGGGGGGUUAGGAAUGAGCCACCAUCUCUGCCUCCAAUGUGCUUUGUUGUUUGGUUUACUUCUGCUUCCCUGGGGUUUCCUCCGUUGGCCGUGGCAUCACAAUGAAUAAGGCCUGGCUGGACUUUUGUCUCAGACAAAAUUCAGAACAAACCAAAUUUGCCUGAAAACUCUAGCAGUUGCUGGGAGUGAGGAGAGCAGACCUGGGGAAGUGGGGCACAGGUCAGCCUUAGCAGAAAGGACAUGAGAGGCCUGAAACCUUCUUCCCUGCUCCCCCAUCCAUUUCUUGCACCCCUAGAUGUCCCUGACUUGCUUCCUGCUCCCUAUUUGCUACCUGAGAAUCUCCAGAGCCCAGGCUGUACCUGCUCUCCAGCUGCUGCCUUUUCUCUGAAAUCUGAUCCUGAGGGUUCUGGCACCCCUUUCCUACACUACCCUGCAAGCUGCUCUCUCCUGGCUCUGCUCCCACAAUCUCUGUUGGACAUGCUGUGUCUCUGGCAUAUGGUGGCCCCUUUCCCCAGGCAUCGCCAGCUCAGGUCUCUCAGCAGACACAGGGAACAGCUGGGUCCCUGGGUUUGGGGGAACCUUGCUCAUCGCUCUCUCAGCUCUCAGGUGGCUCCCUCUCAGCCUCUGGCCUCGCUGUCUAGAGAAGAGUGAGGAGCUCCUUUUGUAGAAGGAAACUGAGAGGCGGCGUGACUCAGACAUGUCGAUAGGUACCCGUUCCCAUCAGUUGGGGCUUCCCUAGACACAGUAUCACAGAAUCUAAUGCUGCAUCCAGCCUCUGGUGGAAGGAAGGCUGUGAUUAAGUAUCGAUGUCUGCCAGGCAUGGGUGCAACUGAUUAGCAGUGUCUACCAUGCAUAGGUGCAAUUGAUUAGCAGAGUCUACCAUGCAUAGGUGCAAUUGAUUAGCAGAGUCUACCAUGCAUAGGUGCAAUUGAUUAGCAGAGUCUACCAUGCAUAGGUGCAAUUGAUUAGCAGUGUCUACCAUGCAUAGGUGCAAUUGAUUAGCAGAGUCUACCAUGCAUAGGUGCAAUUGAUUAGCAGAGUCUACCAUGCAUAGGUGCAAUUGAUUAGUAGUGUCUACCAUGCAUAAUAUAAUCAAUUAGCAAUGUCUGCCAAAUGUGCAACUUCAUGAAUGCCAGAGAUUGUUGACUACUGUUUCUCAAUACUCUGCAAAUAUUCUGCUAAUUGUUAAGUGACCGUUAGAUGACGAGAGAGAGACAGACGGACAGACAGACAGACAGACAGACAGACAGACAGAGACAGAGAGAGAAACAGAGAGGCAGAUAGAUGAGUGCUAGAUCGACCUGUGAUCGGCUGGAAUGCUUGCCCAAGCUUGGAUGUGGAUCUGAGAGAGGUUAGAGCAUACCUGUGUGCAGAAACCUGAUUGCUGUACAUGACCAAGAUGUUCUCAACAGCCUGGCUUUCCUCACAGAGGAAGCUUCCCUCAGUUUCUAGCAGCACUGUCCUUCUAGCCUGAGAUGACAGAGCUCCAACAGCAAUGACAUAGACACAAUACUGCUGAAUUCUCUUUCUCGUAGAGCCGAGUUGGAAUGAGCUAGGCAGCUACUAGGCUCCACCCCCAGAUGAGAGUCUCACGUUACAUAGUGUUAUUGUACCCACUGCUUACAAUCACCUUCUAUUUAUAGGAAGAUUGGGUUUUCAAGCCACAGAAGUGAUGUGAAGAAGAAUCCUUAAAUAAGUGUAUUUAAACAAACAAACAAAAAAAGGUGAAUGUAUUUUAAAACUUUCCUGGAAAUAAUUGCAAAACUACCAUGCAUAGAUCAUUAAAAGAGAGAGCACCAAAUCCUUCCCAGACCUUGUCAGCAGUGGAAAUAAGUUGUAUUUCUGUAUGGGAGCUGAAGCAAGAGAAUCCCACAGGUUUGCCCAUUUGCCCAGGAUACACAGUCAAGAACGUGGAUGCAGGGCUCAGGUCUGACCCAUUUCUAAGAUAGAGGAGGCUGGUGACAGACAAGAUCCUGUGGCAGGAAGGGACAGGCAGGAAAACUCUUACAUAGGUUCUGAAUCCUCUCUGCACUGGCUCAUUUCUUCUUGCAAACAGGGGCCUUGCCCAAGCACCUGUUCCCAGGACAUCUGGUUGAGAGAGAUACCCACUUGGCUAGAUCUGGCCUAGCCUCUGGGACAGACCUUCUGCACCAAGGCACCUCAUAAGCUACUAGUCAGCUUGUGGUCCUGUGGUCUGAUCAGCCAGCCAGUGAGCUGUGAGCAGGAACCACGAAGGCAGGCACUGUGGGUAGGGCAUCCAUUAGUUAGGUCUGGGUCUCUGCUUCCCUGAGGAGAUAGGAUCUGAUCACCCUGGAACAGUGACAACACUGAGGCUCUGCUAGAGGAGCAGUCUAUAGAGAGCAGUUCUCUUCUCUGAGGGUGAGGUGGUACACUUAACAUGUCAUGGCUGCCAGGGCUGCUGGGCCUCGGGUCUCACAUUCCAGUGGGCUCCUUCAUGAGUUGGUGAGGUAGGCAUGAAAAGAUCCAACAGCCACUGCCAGGGGUCAUAGGUGAAGUACACCUGGCAGGACUCGAUCUCCAAGGCAUUGGACAAAUGGAAGAAGAAGUAACCUUGGUUGGUGAAGCAGCUGGCCUGUGAGUGGCCACUGGGCGAGGGUGAAGAGGCCUUCUCCUUCUGAAACAGGAGCAUCUGCAUGGUCUUGGAAUCUCUGUCAAGCACUUCCAGUGGGGAGAUCUCAGGUGCAGAGCCAGUGGGGCUGAAGAAGGAUUGGGGGACAGGCGAGGAGAGCCAUUUCUGCCAGAGAAAGCGGAGAAGAUAGCCUCUGAGGAGGUCAGAAAACACUCAGCAACUCAACCAGAGCUGCCUGCCUGUUCAGAACUGGAGUGGAGCGCUUUUGAGAGGAGCGGCAGAACCAGCAGAAACCUCAGGGAGCGCCCAGCCCAGCAGGGAGACCAGCAGGGAGACAGACCCACAAUUAGCACACCACACUUAGGCUGAGGAGGUCUACGGAGGUCAGUGACUGGGACUACAAGGGAAGAGACGCAGAGGUUUAGCUGCCAGAAGCCACUGAGAAAGAGGGACCAUUAAAAUGUCAAGGAUCUGGGAAGUUGAACUCAGGUUGUCAAGCAUGUAGGGCAAACACUUUGCCCAGUGAGCCACCUUGCCAGCCCAUUCCUGACUUGUUUUUAUGUGAGUGUUGGGACUCUGGACUCCAGUUCUCAUGCCUGCAUGACAAGUACUCUGCCCACUGAGCCACCUGUCACAACCCCAAUUCAGACCCAUCUCAAAGGGAAGAAACAGCUCCUGUGCGUGGCCAGGCAGACCCCAUCAACAGCGUCUGCAUGUGUCUGGGAGAAGCCUGUGCAGGUUCUGGAAGAUGGAUACCUGCCCUUGGGUCCCAUCUCCUUGUCCCUCUUCCCCUGCCUUCUGAGGUAGAUGGACCUCGUCUCUGAAGCAGGAAUCUGGGAUGUGACCUCCCACCAGGGAGAGUAUGGACAUCACAAUGCUGGGUCCUCACCGUUCAC